CUACGGGGUGCUGCAGUGAGGAAUUUUGCGCAAUGGGGGAAACCCUGACGCAGCAACGCCGCGUGAGCGAAGAAGGCCCUCGGGUCGUAAAGCUCUGUCAAGUGGGAAAAAAAUCUUUUGAUCAAUAGUCAAAAGACUUGAUGGUACCACUGGAGGAAGCACCGGCUAACUCCGUGCCAGCAGCCGCGGUAAUACGGAGGGUGCAAGCGUUGUUCGGAUUUACUGGGCGUAAAGAGCGUGUAGGCGGUUUAGCAAGUCAGAUGUGAAAGCCCUGGGCUCAACCCGGGAAGUGCAUUCGAAACUGCUUGACUAGAGUAUGGGAGAGGAGAUGGGAAUUCCUGGUGUAGAGGUGAAAUUCGUAGAUAUCAGGAGGAACACCCGUGGCGAAGGCGAUUCUCUGGACCAAUACUGACGCUGAGACGCGAAAGCGUGGGGAGCAAACAGGAUUAGAUACCCUAGUAGUC
Molecule: ribosomal RNA, 464 nt
Filed under: uncultured bacterium
Lineage: Bacteria
Description: partial 16S ribosomal RNA
Rfam family: Bacterial small subunit ribosomal RNA
Source: RNAcentral